AGGGGAGAAGUCUCUGCCACGCUGUUCCCAGAAGGAGAGGAGGGCAGGAGAGCGACUAUAGGAAGAAGGAAGCUCUCAGCCCCGUGAUGUCGUGGCACAAAGUCAGAGGCCAGGAGAGCUCAACUCACUCAGGUGUGCAGCCAGACUCCUUGUCUC
Molecule: long non-coding RNA, 156 nt
Filed under: Ictidomys tridecemlineatus (thirteen-lined ground squirrel)
Lineage: Eukaryota; Metazoa; Chordata; Mammalia; Rodentia; Sciuridae
Description: lncRNA (ENSSTOG00000034399.1)
Source: RNAcentral